RNAcentral lists this ribosomal RNA (446 nucleotides) under uncultured bacterium. Its description in RNAcentral is "partial 16S ribosomal RNA". It matches the Rfam family "Bacterial small subunit ribosomal RNA", at positions 338 to 795 of the family's 1533-position model. The record is from RNAcentral.
CCUACGGGUGGCAGCAGUCGAGAAUCAUUCACAAUGGGGGAAACCCUGAUGGUGCGACGCCGCGUGGGGGAAUGAAGGUCUUCGGAUUGUAAACCCCUGUCAUGUGGGAGCAAAUUAAAACGAUUGUACCCCAAGAGGCAGAGACGGCGAACCACGCGACAGCAGCCGCGGGAAGACAGAGGUCUCAAGCGUUGUUCGGAAUCACUGGGCGUAAAGCGUGCGGUGGCGGUUUCGUACGACGGGUGUGAACGGUGGGGGCUCAACCCGCGGACGGCACAUGAUACUGGGAGACUAGAGUAAGGGAGAGGUAGCCGGAAUUCGCGGUGUAGCAGUGAAAUGCGUAGAUAUCGGGAGGAACACUCGUUGCGAAGGCAGGUUCCUGGACAGUAACUGACGCUGAUGCACGAACGCCAGGGGAGCGAAAGGGAUUAGAUACCCUUGUAGUC